GCAGCACGUGCUCCGCCCUCGGGGCGGGAGGGGUCGCCGCGGAGGCGCCUGUGUCGUGCCCGAAGCUGUGGCUGUCGGAACGUGCUCGAGCAGAAGUUUAUUCUGUUGGAUCAUCUGACUUCCAGUCUGACUGAAUUUCUGGCCUGGUCUCAAAACUUUGUUUUCAUUCAAUCCACUAAUGGCAAUUGCCUUUUGCAACUGUUAUUUUGCCUCUCAAUCCAGCCCUUAGUGUUUUUCCGUAUGCCAUUGCUUGUGUGUAGAACUUGAUUCUCAAAUAUUCAGUAGAGGCAGUAUACUAUCUCAUGUGACAUUCUUCUCAAAAGCAAAAAUCUGUUGUAAUUUUUGCUAAACAUUAGAACUGCUGUAGUGGGUCAGACCAAUAGUCCAUCUAGUCCAGUAUCCUGCCGUCUGACAGUGUCCAGGGCCAGGUGCUUCAGAGGGAAUGAACGGAAUAGGCAAUCACUGAGUGAACCAUCCCUUUAUCCACUCCCAGCAUCUGGUAGUCGGAGGUUUAGGGAGACCCGCAGCAUGGGGAUGCAUCCCUGAUUAUCUUGGCUAAUAGCUGAUGCACCUAUCCUGAGGAACUGACCCUCACUGGGGAGUAAGGGUUGCCCUCACCAGUUCAGCAUACACUCCACACAGUGCAUGGCUCCUUUGGGGUGCUAAGUAUAGCUGGCAGUGCCUCCUGCCCCUACCCGUUUGCCAUCAGGGUAUUUAGGCAGCAGCAACAUUAUGGCUUCCAUAUGAAUGGGUGUGUUUGCGGGAGGGAAAGGACUUCUUGGCCCUCUUCUCACCUCCACCUCUGUGUGAUGGCAGCCAUAUUUUGACCUGUAAUAGAUAGGAACUGCUUCUAUCAGGAAAAAUUCAGGUGAGCAUAGAUAGCUCUCAGUAAGGGAAAUAGGAAAUCCAAAAUACUUCUCUCUCCUUUCUACCCAGCCAGAGACUAAAAUACACCUGCAUGGAGACAAACCCAUCUGGAUCAUCUUUACCUUACUGACAUCAAAAUCUCUCUCUGAACAAGCCCCUUCAUCUCCAAUGAGAUAUUACCCCAGGAGCUUGCUGGAAUCUAGCCUCCCUUUGAUCAGAAACCUUUGUCAGUCAAGGCAAUAGGACAAGUGCAUUGCUGCCUGUGGCUGCCUGCUGAGUUGAUGAAAUGUAAUGGUCAGAGAUUGCACUAACAUAGAAGUAUGUUGAAGGCAAACCCUAAGAAAAUUAAGAGUUUAAAUUAUCCUCCACAUGUCCCGCGUCCCACUAAAAUUAAUCCAACCCACAGGUAAUUUGGGCAGAAAUGUCAAUGUCAGGAUGGCACAGUAAAUGAAGCUGCAGAAUAAAUGAUGUUUAAAUGAA
Caretta caretta (loggerhead turtle) is the source of this 1347-nucleotide long non-coding RNA. RefSeq lists it as uncharacterized. The record is from RefSeq and is a predicted model, not a curated record. Lineage: Eukaryota; Metazoa; Chordata; Testudines; Cheloniidae.